This 176-nucleotide non-coding RNA is filed under the name Pseudodesulfovibrio profundus. Lineage: Bacteria; Pseudomonadati; Thermodesulfobacteriota; Desulfovibrionia; Desulfovibrionales; Desulfovibrionaceae. The record is from RNAcentral.
UCAUCACGAUGUCCUUCAGGUGGCUGGGAAGCCACAAUAGGGAAUCCGGUGCGAAUCCGGAGCGGUCCCGCCGCUGUUAUCUCCAUAGAAAUCUGAUCCACGACGUCACUGCCACAUGCGGGAAGACGGAUCAGACGGGGAAAGCCAGAAGACCUGCCUGAAGCGUUUCUAGCCGA